RNAcentral lists this ribosomal RNA (468 nucleotides) under uncultured bacterium. RNAcentral's name for it is "partial 16S ribosomal RNA". It matches the Rfam family "Bacterial small subunit ribosomal RNA", at positions 28 to 507 of the family's 1533-position model. The record is from RNAcentral.
GACGAACGCUGGCGGCGUGCUUAACACAUGCAAGUCGAACGGAAAGGCCCUGCUUUUGUGGGGUGCUCGAGUGGCGAACGGGUGAGUAACACGUGAGUAACCUGCCCUUGACUUUGGGAUAACUUCAGGAAACUGGGGCUAAUACCGGAUAGGAGCUCCUGCUGCAUGGGGGGGGUUGGAAAGUUUCGGCGGUUGGGGAUGGACUCGCGGCUUAUCAGCUUGUUGGUGGGGUAGUGGCUUACCAAGGCUUUGACGGGUAGCCGGCCUGAGAGGGUGACCGGCGUCAUUGGGACUGAGAGAGGGCCCAGACGCCUACGGGAGGCAGCAGGGGGGAGUAUUGCACAAUAGGCGGAAGCCUGAUGCAGCAACGCCGCGUGCGGGAUGACGGCCUUCGGGUUGUAAACCGCUUUCGCCGGUGACGAAGCGUGAGUGACGGUAAUGGGUAAAGAAGCACCGGCUAACUACGUG